AUACGGAGGGAGCGAGCGUUAAUCGGAAUUACUGGGCGUAAAGCGCGCGUAGGCGGCUUUGUAAGUCGGAUGUGAAAGCCCAGGGCUCACCCCUGGAAUUGCAUUCGAUACUGCAGAGCUAGAGUAUGGUAGAGGGAAGUGGAAUUUCCGGUGUAGCGGUGAAAUGCGUAGAUAUCGGAAGGAACACCAGUGGCGAAGGCGACUUCCUGGGCCAAUACUGACGCUGAGGUGCGAAAGCGUGGGGAGCAAACAGGAUUAGAAACCCCGGUAGUCC
This 274-nucleotide ribosomal RNA is filed under the name uncultured bacterium. RNAcentral's name for it is "partial 16S ribosomal RNA". It matches the Rfam family "Bacterial small subunit ribosomal RNA", at positions 523 to 796 of the family's 1533-position model. The record is from RNAcentral.